This 74-nucleotide transfer RNA is filed under the name Planctomycetales bacterium. RNAcentral's name for it is "tRNA-Arg". It matches the Rfam family "tRNA". From Rfam's summary of the family: Transfer RNA (tRNA) molecules are approximately 80 nucleotides in length. Their secondary structure includes four short double-helical elements and three loops (D, anti-codon, and T loops). Lineage: Bacteria; Pseudomonadati; Planctomycetota; Planctomycetia; Planctomycetales. The record is from RNAcentral.
GCCCCUGUAGCUCAGUUGGAUAGAGCAUCGGAUUUCUAAUCCGGCGGUCACAGGUUCGAGUCCUGUCAGGGGUG